AUGUACAGUAUCAUGUCAUCUGUGAAUAAUGACAAUUUCACUUCUUCCUUUCAAUUAAUUAAUCUUGUUUAUUUCCUUCUCUUUUCCCAGAUUGCUUACAAGUAUAAGACAAUGACAGAAUCAACAUCACAGCAGUUAAAUCCAUGUUUUCAAAUAGAGGGAUUACUGAAGAGAAAUGUGUGUAAAGUGACUAAAGGUAUGUUAGACUGCAUUAUCUUAUUUACUUCUAUAAAUUUGGAAAUGUGCUUCUAUAGUAAAUAAUUUGAUUCUAACUCAUAAUAUAUAUGAUGCUUGAGGAUCCUAGAAUCCUUGUGAUUUAUAUAAUUUGAAGUUGAUAUGCAUUUAUUUUUAAUCACUACCUCUCUGUUGAAUAUUCAAUUAAUACGAUUCUCCUUGCUCAUUCUUUUCUGUAGUCUGAAUGUUUCCACCACACAACUAAUAUGUUAAUAAUCAGUUCUCAAAAUAAUAGUACUAAGAGGUGGGGAUUUUAGGAGGUAAUUAGGUUAUAGGAGCAGUGCUUAUGAAUGGGAUUAUAGCCCUUAUAAAAGAAGCUUGAGGGUACUUAUUUGCUCCCUCAGGAACUGCAAAAAUGACCAUGUAGGAAGCAAGCAGUAAGCCCUCAUCAAACACUAAUGGCAACAAGACCUUGGAGUUCCUAUCUUCUAAAAUUGUGAGCAACAAACUUUCGUGCUUGUAAAUUACUCAGAUUAGGGUAUUUUGUUAUAGCAGGCCAAACAGACUAAGACAACAUUUGAAAUAUUUUAAUGUCAACAUUUUUAAAUGUUUAAUAUUUUUAUUUUAUUGAAGUUUUAUUUGAUUUCAUGAAAUUGAAUUUGGAAAUAACUUAGAAAGAUAGCAUUUAGCUAACUUCCUAAAAUUCCCAUGCAGUUUUUCAAAGAGCAAUUGUAGAUAGCACAUGAUUUUCUUAACACUAAAAUUGAACAGAAAGACACACAUUAUUGUCAUAUAAAUGAAAUGUUUUCUCCAAAGUGCUGUUCCUCUAUAGUAGAACAGUUUUAUGAUUUGAGUUUUUUUGACCUGCCUAUAGAUUUUUAAUAUGGUAUUUCUAAAUACCAUCUACUACCAAACAUUGCCACAUGGAUUCAGCUGAUAGGCUCUUUUCAGUGAAAGGACUAUCUUAUUUCUACCAGUCUAAGAAUAGCAUUAUAUAUGAAUUAAACACUCUUAAUCUCUGCUCAGCUCACCCCUAAAAUCUGCCUCUUUCCCAUAGCAUUUGAACAUUCACUCAGCAUAAUCUUAAACUAUAUUGAAUUUGGAAAUAAAAAAAUAAACACUCUCACGAAAAGUUCUUUGAAGCACACAGCCCUCGGCAGAGAUAUGUGGCAACUUGAAACCAAAUGCUAGUGCUUCAUCUCCAAAUGUGGUACAAGUGAAGUUACCUGCUUAGUCAGCAAACCUGUUAAAAAUGUAUAUUUUUAUUUUAAAAAUGUAUUUAUUAAGAAAGAAACAGCAUUCAUUUAAAUACAAUUUUACAAAUAAUGAAGUGUUUUAGAUUUGAAGUAUUUUGAAUAAUGAAGUAUUUUAGAGAAAAGUAUAGUUUAAUAGCUUAAUUUUGGGCCAAAACUGAAGUAGAGUUCCAUGUCAUUUAUUAUAUGAAAGAAUCUUAAUAGAGCUCUGAAAUGUUUUUAAAAUGAUGUCAUGGCUACAUUGUAAAAUGCAUGACAAUUUAAACAACAAUAAACACUUAUGUCAUGUUUGAACAGUACACUUCCAGGUACUGUUCUAGAAAUGUAUAUUUACCUCUCAUAGCACCUGAAAUGGUAGGAUAAUAUUCCCAAUUGAUAAAUGAGGAAACAGGUCCAGAGAAUUACACAACCUAAUGUAGGCAGCCAGUGGUGAAAAUGCAAUUUAAGCCUAAGCAGUCUGGCUUUGGACUCUAUGCUUUUAACCUAGAGACCCUGUCUUUUGUCUGUCUAUACUAUAUGCCAUCUACCAGGUGUGAAAUGCUUAUUAGUACUUCCUUAUACAUGCUUUUCUGAGUGUGUUGUGUCUGGCCUCAAUAUUUUGAUACUAUGUUUUCCCCAUUACAGGUUGAUUAUCUCUAAUUUGAAAAUCUAAUAUCAGAAGUGCUUCAAAAAUCUAAAACUUCUUGAGCACCAACAUGAUAUCACUGUGGAAGACUCCACACCCGACCUCAUAUGAUAGGUGGCACGUCAGCCCAGGUGCUCCAUAAAGGCUACAUGAAAUAACCUUCAGGCUAUGUAUAUAAGGUAUAUAUGAAACAUCAAUAAAUUUUCCUAUAUAGACUUGGGUCUUGUUCCUAGUUUCAUUAUUUGUCUGCAAUAUUCCAAAACCCAACCAACAAACAAACAAAAAAACAAAUCCAAAAUGCUUCUGGUCCCAAGCGUUUUUUUUUUUUUUUUCCUCCGGUACCGGGAACCAAACUCACGACCUUGCGCUUGCCAGGCAGGCGCUUUUGCUGCUGAGCUAAAUCCCCAGCCCCUCCAAGCAUUUUUUUUAAAAGAAAAAAUAAAAAUAAAACAGAGUUUCAAAACUGGCUAAUAGGAGAGUAACAAUACUAAUACACUGCGGAUUAUUAUCCCAAGCAUUUUGGAUAAGGGAUACUCAAUUUUUAUGCUAUUGCUGUUUUAAACA
Molecule: long non-coding RNA, 2616 nt
Filed under: Chinchilla lanigera (long-tailed chinchilla)
Lineage: Eukaryota; Metazoa; Chordata; Mammalia; Rodentia; Chinchillidae
Description: lncRNA (ENSCLAG00000028555.1)
Source: RNAcentral